Molecule: ribosomal RNA, 447 nt
Filed under: uncultured bacterium
Lineage: Bacteria
Description: bacterial SSU rRNA
Rfam family: Bacterial small subunit ribosomal RNA
Source: RNAcentral
UCGGGAAUUUUGGGCAAUGGGCGAAAGCCUGACCCAGCAACGCCGCGUGAAGGAUGAAGUAUUUCGGUAUGUAAACUUCGAAAGAAUAGGAAGAAUAAAUGACGGUACUAUUUAUAAGGUCCGGCUAACUACGUGCCAGCAGUCGCGGUAAUACGUAGGGACCAAGCGUUGUUCGGAUUUACUGGGCGUAAAGGGCGCGUAGGCGGCAAUUCAAGUCAUCUGUGAAAUCUCCGGGCUUAACUCGGAACGGUCAGAUGAUACUGCUUUGCUAGAGUGCAGAAGGGGCAAUCGGAAUUCUUGGUGUAGCGGUGAAAUGCGUAGAUAUCAAGAGGAACACCUGAGGUGAAGACGGGUUGCUGGGCUGACACUGACGCUGAGGCGCGAAAGCCAGGGGAGCAAACGGGAUUAGAUACCCUGGUAGUCCCUGAGCGGGCUGGCAAGGCGCAU